Molecule: ribosomal RNA, 614 nt
Filed under: Porina subepiphylla
Lineage: Eukaryota; Fungi; Ascomycota; Lecanoromycetes; Ostropales; Porinaceae
Description: SSU rRNA
Rfam family: Bacterial small subunit ribosomal RNA
Source: RNAcentral
CCAGCAGUCGCGGUAAGACGUGUAAGACAAGUGUUAUUCAUAUUUACUAGGUAUAUUGGGUACUCAGACAGUUAAUUAAGCCGAUGAGGUACUAAUUAUACUAGAGUUUUAUGGGAAAAGGUUAGAACGGUGAGUGUAGUGAUAAAAUACGUUGAUACCACUUAGAGACUGACAACGGCGAAGGCGACCUUUUAUGUAAAAACUGACGUUAAAGUACGAAGGCUCAAGCAAAGGAUAAGGAUUAGAUACCCUAGUACUGUGGGCAGUAAAUGAUGAGUGUCAUAGGUAAGUAUAAAUAUAACUUAUAAAAAAGUUGUAUGACUAUUUACGUAUAAAUGAAAGUGUAAGCACUCCACCUUAAGAGUAACAUGGCAACAUGGGAACUGAAAUCAUUAGACCGUUUCUGAAACCAGUAGUGAAGUAUGUUGUUUAAUUUGAUAAUCCACAAAGAACCUUACCACAAUUUGUAUGUUUUUUUCAAAAAAAAAUCACAGGAGUUGCACGGCUGUCUUCAGUUGAUAUCGUGAGAUCUUGGUUUACUCCAUUGAAUCAACGAAAACCCUUACUUUAUUUUAUUCAUAAAGCAGCUCUCCCCAAAGGAUAUGAUAAUAGGG